CUCAGGCUGGGGGUGGGGGCAUGUGCUGGGCGGACCCGGCCAGCCGGGUGGAGCGGAGGCAGUACAGCAGCAGAGCACACUUCUGUUCCCACUCAUAGGACCUGCAGUGAGAGGGCUCCCUCCUCGGCUCUGGUGGAAGGAAAUGUCGCUUCCCGGUUGUGGGAUGGUCAGUGGCCACAGGCAGGUCAUCUGGACUCUGUGCUUCCUACUGCUUCUCCUGGAAGCUGCUUUUGCCAAGAAUAUCUGGAAACGGACGCUGCACACCAGGGUGACUGAGAAGUCCCGCAUGGAACCCCAUGCAGACCGCUGCCCACCACCCCCUCGAUCGCUGCCCCCGAGUGCCUGCCAGGUUGCACGCUGUCAAGCCGACUCUGAGUGCCCGCACCGUCGGCGCUGCUGCUAUAAUGGCUGCGUCUACACCUGCCUAGAGUUGGUGCCUCUCCCACCAGUUUUAGACUGGCUGGUACAGCCGAAACCUCGAUGGCUUGGUGGCAAUGGCUGGCUCCUGGACGGCCCUCAGGAAGUAUUGCAAGCAGAGGCAUGCAGCACCACGGAGGAUGGGGCAGAGCCACUCCUCUGUCCCUCGGGCUAUGAGUGCCACAUCCUGAACCCAGGUGACGUGGCGAAGGGCAUUCCCAACCGAGGUCAAUGUGUCAAGCAGCGCGAGCAGACAGAUGGGCGCUUCCCAGGACACAGGUUUUACAAAGAAUAUCCAGAGGGUGAUUAUAAGAACGUGGCAGAAAAUGGCAAAGGACGACCAACGCAUGCUCACUAAAGUUCCAGGAGCAGGUAAAUGGAGGAAUCUAAAUCCAAAGGCUGGACUUGGUUGUGACUUUCCUUUACAUUUCCACUCCUGACACCUCCAUGAAUGGGCAAAGAGACCUCCAUGUUCCCACCUCUGCUUCCUGCGUCUGUCCCUCUGACACAACACUAUCGAUCAUGAACCUUAGGAGAGCCAGUCUGAAAGCACAUUGUUCUGCCUUGAAAACAGUUGGGUACAAAGGAUUUGAGCCCCGCUGCCAUCCCCCAGAAGUCACACUCAGCUCAGCAGAGCAUGACCUUGGAGAUACUUAGAAACAGACACUGGGCUGUCAUCUCCUGUCUAGCCCUACCAGACUGAGUGGCUUUGUGACAGACGACACUGGCACUGCAGCCCUGUUUUAUCAUCCUAGAAUGUCCAGUGAUGCUACCCAGGAAAAAAUUGGAGCCUCUGGGAGCAGCCCUUGGGGAUUCUCUCUGAGAUGGAGUUCAGUGUCAUGAUUAUUUACUGAAAUUUCUAGAGCUGACUCUGGAGGCAUGUAUCCACCCCAGGUGUGCUCAAAAUAAACCUACUCAUCAUCAAACAGAA
Erinaceus europaeus (western European hedgehog) is the source of this 1348-nucleotide RNA transcript. It is a transcript of the gene named WAP four-disulfide core domain 1, with no coding region annotated. Lineage: Eukaryota; Metazoa; Chordata; Mammalia; Eulipotyphla; Erinaceidae. The transcript is spliced from 8 exons. The record is from RefSeq and is a predicted model, not a curated record.